This 328-nucleotide ribosomal RNA is filed under the name Listeria monocytogenes. Its description in RNAcentral is "bacterial SSU rRNA". It matches the Rfam family "Bacterial small subunit ribosomal RNA", at positions 1 to 317 of the family's 1533-position model. The record is from RNAcentral. Lineage: Bacteria; Bacillati; Bacillota; Bacilli; Caryophanales; Listeriaceae.
UUUAAAGAGAGUUUGAUCCUGGCUCAGGACGAACGCUGGCGGCGUGCCUAAUACAUGCAAGUCGAACGAACGGAGGAAGAGCUUGCUCUUCCAAAGUUAGUGGCGGACGGGUGAGUAACACGUGGGCAACCUGCCUGUAAGUUGGGGAUAACUCCGGGAAACCGGGGCUAAUACCGAAUGAUAAAGUGUGGCGCAUGCCAUGCUUUUGAAAGAUGGUUUCGGCUAUCGCUUACAGAUGGGCCCGCGGUGCAUUAGCUAGUUGGUAGGGUAAUGGCCUACCAAGUCAACGAUGCAUAGCCGACCUGAGAGGGUGAUCGGCCACACUGGG